Cebus imitator (Panamanian white-faced capuchin) is the source of this 132-nucleotide small nuclear RNA. The record is from Ensembl. NCBI's taxonomy places the organism in Eukaryota, Metazoa, Chordata, Mammalia, Primates, Cebidae.
UUGUUCAAGACACCAAGAGUCUAUACACCCUCCACCAUUAACACAUAUAAUAAAAUUGGAAGGAUACAGAGAAAACUAGCAUGCUCCUUCUGCAAGGAUGGCACGCAAAUUUGUGAAGUGUUUCAUUUAAAA